UACAGAGGUCCCAAGCGUUGUUCGGAUUCAUUGGGCAUAAAGGGUGCGUAGGUGGCGCUGUAAGUCGGGUGUGAAAUUUCGGAGCUUAACUCCGAAACUGCAUUCGAUACUGCGGUGCUCGAGGACUGGAGAGGAGACUGGAAUUCAUGGUGUAGCAGUGAAAUGCGUAGAGAUCAUGAGGAAGACCAGUGGCGAAGGCGGGUCUCUGGACAGUUCCUGACACUGAGGCACGAAGGCCAGGGGAGCAAACGGG
Molecule: ribosomal RNA, 253 nt
Filed under: uncultured bacterium
Lineage: Bacteria
Description: partial 16S ribosomal RNA
Rfam family: Bacterial small subunit ribosomal RNA
Source: RNAcentral